GAUGAACGCUAGCGGCAGGCUUAAUACAUGCAAGUCGAGGGGCAGCACGGUUAGCAAUAACUGGUGGCGACCGGCGCACGGGUGCGUAACACGUAUACAAUCUACCUUAAACAGGGGAUAGCCUUUCGAAAGAGAGAUUAAUACCCCGUAAUAAAUUGAACGGCAUCGUUUGAUUUUGAAAGCUCCGGCGGUUUGAGAUGAGUAUGCGUCUGAUUAGCUAGUUGGUGAGGUAACGGCUCACCAAGGCGACGAUCAGUAGGGGAUCUGAGAGGACUAACCCCCACACUGGUACUGAGACACGGACCAGACUCCUACGGGAGGCAGCAGUAAGGAAUAUUGGUCAAUGGAUGCAACUCUGAACCAGCCAUGCCGCGUGCAGGAUGACGGCCCUAUGGGUUGUAAACUGCUUUUAUACAAGAGAAAACCCUGGUACGCGUACCAGGUUGAUAGUAUUGUAAGAAUAAG
RNAcentral lists this ribosomal RNA (465 nucleotides) under uncultured bacterium. RNAcentral's name for it is "bacterial SSU rRNA". It matches the Rfam family "Bacterial small subunit ribosomal RNA", at positions 28 to 490 of the family's 1533-position model. The record is from RNAcentral.